CGGAACGUACCUUUCAGUGGGGGAUAACGUAGCGAAAGUUACGCUAAUACCGCAUAUUCUGUGAGCAGGAAAGCAGGGGACCGCAAGACCUUGCGCUGAUUGAGCGGCCGAUAUCAGAUUAGCUAGUUGGUGAGGUAAAGGCUCACCAAGGCGACGAUCUGUAGCGGGUCUGAGAGGAUGAUCCGCCACACUGGAACUGAGACACGGUCCAGACUCCUACGGGAGGCAGCAGUGGGGAAUUUUGGACAAUGGGGGCAACCCUGAUCCAGCCAUGCCGCGUGAGUGAAGAAGGCCUUCGGGUUGUAAAGCUCUUUCGGCCGGGAAGAAAUCGUAUGGGUUAAUACCCUGUGCGGAUGACGGUACCGGCAUAAGAAGCACCGGCUAACUACGUGCCAGCAGCCGCGGUAAUACGUAGGGUGCGAGCGUUAAUCGGAAUUACUGGGCGUAAAGCGUGCGCAGGCGGUUUUGUAAGACAGGCGUGAAAUCCCCGGGCUCAACCUGGGAACUGCGCUUGUGACUGCAAGGCUAGAGUACGGCAGAGGGGGGUGGAAUUCCACGUGUAGCAGUGAAAUGCGUAGAGAUGUGGAGGAACACCAAUGGCGAAGGCAGCCCCCUGGGUCGAUACUGACGCUCAUGCACGAAAGCGUGGGUAGCAGACAGGAUUAGAUACCCUGGUAGUCCACGCCCUAAACGAUGUCAACUAGGUGUUGGGUGGGUAAAACCAUUUAGUACCGGAGCUAACGCGUGAAGUUGACCGCCUGGGGAGUACGGCCGCAAGGUUAAAACUCAAAGGAAUUGACGGGGACCCGCACAAGCGGUGGAUGAUGUGGAUUAAUUCGAUGCAACGCGAAAAACCUUACCUACCCUUGACAUGUCCAGGAGCCUGAAGAGAUUUGGGUGUGCCCGAAAGGGAACUGGAACACAGGUGCUGCAUGGCUGUCGUCAGCUCGUGUCGUGAGAUGUUGGGUUAAGUCCCGCAACGAGCGCAACCCUUGUCGUUAAUUGCCAUCAUUUAGUUGGGCACUUUAACGAGACUGCCGGUGACAAACCGGAGGAAGGUGGGGAUGGCGUCAAGUCCUCAUGGCCCUUAUGGGUAGGGCUUCACACGUCAUACAAUGGUCGGUACAAAGGGUCGCCAACCCGCGAGGGGGAGCCAAUCCCAGAAAGCCGAUCGUAGUCCGGAUCGUAGGCUGCAACUCGCCUGCGUGAAGUCGGAAUCGCUAGUAAUCGUGGAUCAGCAUGUCACGGUGAAUACGUUCCCGGGUCUUGUACACACCGCCCGUCACACCAUGGGAGCGGGUUCCGCCAGAAGUAGGUAGCCUAACCGCAAGGGGGGCGCUUACCA
This 1345-nucleotide ribosomal RNA is filed under the name metagenome. RNAcentral describes it as "bacterial SSU rRNA". It matches the Rfam family "Bacterial small subunit ribosomal RNA", at positions 119 to 1459 of the family's 1533-position model. The record is from RNAcentral.